ACACAUAGAAAAUUUUCUCUAUUUUUAAUUUUUUAAAACUAACAAACAAACAAAAACUGCAUGUUUAGCCUUGUACAUUGUAUUGUAUUUAUUUUGAUUGUAAUUGUACGAAGUUAUGUUGCUGUGGAGACCAUUCCAAUGAAUCAAAAUAUUUCAAAAUUCAUCUCCCAAGAAUCUACUUUAUUCUUUCUCCAUCUAUUUUUAUAACAAUACUUUAUAAGAAAGCAGAAGGCCUUUGCUUUAUCUUGGGCUGGGCUUACUUACCCACCUCAUAAAUGAGGGCCUCCAUGGCAACAAGGUGCUGCAAGGCCCACAACAAAAACAUUGCUUCAUUCCCUUGGGAAGAAUCAGUUUAGGAUUGGAAUUUAGACACACAAUGGGAAAGUCAAAGAAACAAACAAAAAUAAAUAAAUAAAAACCAAAAAAUAAAAAAAAUAGGAGAAAUGAAACAAAGAGAAAAAAAAAACAUGAAGAAAAAUGAAAUAAAUUAGAAGCAAUGUUUUUUUUGUUCCUUGCAGAAUCAUACUUCGAAAGAUAAGUCAUGCGUUCUGUGAGUGAAGUUGGAGAAUGAAUGCUCAUGAACUUCGUCCUCUUUGUUUCUCAAGAUACACUUUUUUCAACAAAAAAUGAAAAUGAAAAUAAAUACAACAUUAAAAGAUGAAACAACAAAAACACUCCCAUCUGCAAGCUUAGCUUACCCUUGAUCAAGUAAAUAAUACUUUUGUUAUACAUUCAAAAUCUACAAUAUUACAUAUGAGCAGUAUCACCCAAGGUUUAGGUUUUAGGGUUUGGAACUGCACUGACCACAGAGAAGCAAGUGGAGAGAAGAUGAGACUUCUAUCCAAAAGUUCCAGUGAGCCCCAAUUACUGCUCUGCCUUGCUUACUAGCCAACUCAAGGUUCCAGCAAAUGUUCCUCAUUCUGUUAUGAUACGGUGAACGCUAAAAUAGACAGCAUAUACUUAUUUUAAGUUAGCAAGUCCUCGUAUAGAAAACCGAACGCUGUAUAAAUGCGUGUAUAUAUAUAUGGGGGUUGAUACAGUUAGCCUUUGUUUGAAAUAUGGUGUAUCUUAGAAUCUGGAAGUUAAUAAUGGGUUCGGCUUAGAAUUGCAGUUGGGAGGAGGAAGGAUCCAAAGAAUCCAUUUACCUGAUUCUCAGCCUGGCUCAUUGGAGCUGUCAAAACCAAACUUUAUUGGGUUUUACAGCUGGUCAGCCAGGUGGGUUGUGCACACAUCGAUAGUUUAUUUUUACUCCACUUCUUCUUCUUCAUCUUCUUCAAUUGUUUCUUACUUAUGGCCUCUACAACUAGCCCUCCUGUUAAAUAAUACUAAGUGUACAACCUUGGGCAUUUCUCCAUCUGCCUUGGUGUGCAUAUUCAUUAAAAACUGUGACUGCCACCCAAGCUUAUGCAUACUCUUUUAAGAGAGGUG
Molecule: long non-coding RNA, 1428 nt
Filed under: Physcomitrium patens
Lineage: Eukaryota; Viridiplantae; Streptophyta; Bryopsida; Funariales; Funariaceae
Description: long non-coding RNA (PPAT_LNC001332)
Source: RNAcentral